CAUGGUUCCGUCUCUCAAGCAUCGCUAGGCCUACAUCACAAGGCUCAAGCGACCCACCUCCUCCACCUCAACCCCGACCAACACCUCGCCGUCAGGUCACAGUCCGACCACCGGUAAAACAACCGUCACCUCCACGUCAGCAACAACCUCCUUCGCCUCCACGUCAGCAACAACCUCCUUCCCCUCCACGUCAGCAACAACCUCCUUCCCCUCCACGUCACCAAACACCUCCACCUCCUCAAGAGCGGUCCCCAUAUCAUUCACCGCCAAGCCGCCACAUGUCGCCACCGACCCCACCAAAGGCUGCGUCGCCGUCUCCACCACCGCCACAGCCGCCUAGGUCGUCAU
RNAcentral lists this long non-coding RNA (348 nucleotides) under Eutrema salsugineum. Its description in RNAcentral is "long non-coding RNA (ESAL_LNC001017)". Lineage: Eukaryota; Viridiplantae; Streptophyta; Magnoliopsida; Brassicales; Brassicaceae. The record is from RNAcentral.